Molecule: ribosomal RNA, 492 nt
Filed under: uncultured bacterium
Lineage: Bacteria
Description: partial 16S ribosomal RNA
Rfam family: Bacterial small subunit ribosomal RNA
Source: RNAcentral
AGUGAACGCUGGCGGUAGGCCUAACACAUGCAAGUCGAACGGCAGCACAGUAAAAGCUUGCUCUUACGGGUGGCGAGUCGCGGACGGGUGAGGAAUACAUCGGAAUCUACUUUUUCGUGGGGGAUAACGUAGGGAAACUUACGCUAAUACCGCAUACGACCUACGGUUGAAAGCAGGGGAUCUUCGGACCUUGCGCGAUUGAAUGAGCCGAUGUCGGAUUAGCUAGUUGGCGGGGUAACGGCCCACCAAGGCGACGAUCCGUAGCUGGUCUGAGAGGAUGAGCAGCCACCCUGGAACUGUGACACGGUCCAGACCACUCCCGGAGGGAGCAGUGGAGUAUAGUGGACAAUGGGCGGAAGCCUGAUCCAGCCCUACCGAGUCGGUUAAGGAGGCCUUCGGGUUGUGAAGGCAUUCUGUUGGUAAAGAAAAGCAGCAGGUUAAUCGCGUGCUGUUCUGACGGUACCCUAAGAAUAAGCACCGGCUAACUUCGUG